Molecule: ribosomal RNA, 259 nt
Filed under: uncultured Staphylococcus sp.
Lineage: Bacteria; Bacillati; Bacillota; Bacilli; Caryophanales; Staphylococcaceae
Description: partial 16S ribosomal RNA
Rfam family: Bacterial small subunit ribosomal RNA
Source: RNAcentral
CGGGUGAGUAACACGUGGAUAACCUACCUAUAAGACUGGGAUAACUUCGGGAAACCGGAGCUAAUACCGGAUAAUAUAUUGAACCGCAUGGUUCAAUAGUGAAAGACGGUUUUGCUGUCACUUAUAGAUGGAUCCGCGCUGCAUUAGCUAGUUGGUAAGGUAACGGCUUACCAAGGCAACGAUGCGUAGCCGACCUGAGAGGGUGAUCGGCCACACUGGAACUGAUACACGGUCCAGACUCCUACGAGAGGCAGCAGGC